AUUGAACGCUGGCGGCAGGCCUAACACAUGCAAGUCGAGCGGAUGAAGGGAGCUUGCUCCUGGAUUCAGCGGCGGACGGGUGAGUAAUGCCUAUGAAUCUGCCUGGUAGUGGGGGAUAACGUCCGGAAACGGGCGCUAAUACCGCAUACGUCCUGAUGGAGAAAGUGGGUGAUCUUCGGACCUCACGCUAUCAGAUGAGCCUAGGUCGGAUUAGCUAGUUGGUGGGGUAAAGGCCUACCAAGGCGACGAUCCGUAACUGGUCUGAGAGGAUGAUCAGUCACACGGGAACUGAGACACGGUCGAGACUCCUACGGGAGGCAGCAGUGGGGAAUAUUGGACAAUGGGCGAAAGCCUGAUACAGCCAUGCCGCGUGUGUGAAGAAGGUCUUCGGAUUGUAAAGCAAUUUAAGUUGGGAGGAAGGGCAGUAAGUUAAUACCGUGCUGUUUUGACGUUACCAACAGAAUAAGCACCGGCUAACUUCGUG
RNAcentral lists this ribosomal RNA (484 nucleotides) under uncultured bacterium. RNAcentral's name for it is "partial 16S ribosomal RNA". It matches the Rfam family "Bacterial small subunit ribosomal RNA", at positions 30 to 507 of the family's 1533-position model. The record is from RNAcentral.